This 534-nucleotide long non-coding RNA is filed under the name Physcomitrium patens. RNAcentral's name for it is "long non-coding RNA (PPAT_LNC006424)". The record is from RNAcentral. Lineage: Eukaryota; Viridiplantae; Streptophyta; Bryopsida; Funariales; Funariaceae.
ACUGCUUACCGAAGUCCUUUUUGCUCCAUUUGGUAGGUCUCUAGACGUUACAGAGAACCGCAAACAACCCAAACUGCUAAUCUUCAAUACCGCUUUAUACUCACGAUCUUGUAUCCAUUGACUCUCUUGUUAGAUUAAUCUAAUAAAUUUCAUUCACUCCGCAUACUCAAUCCUAUAGAUGUCCUUUUAAUUCUUCAUCAUAGACGUAACUCGAUUUCACAAAACAGUCAAGAGUAAUCAAACCCACUUCAUUAAAAAUCUCGAUUCACCAUUACAACACUGACUUCAGCAAUGAUUGCCUCAGUCUUCCCAAAACCCUAUGAAGAAAAAAAAUCCAAUUCUCCGUCUUUUUUUCCCUUCUCGAAGCAUGAAGCUAGCUCUCCGACCCUUCAAAACCCCCAAAAACUUAUUCUCUCCCCCUUUCAUUUCUUAACCUAUCCUCCCCUUUAACCCUAAUUCUCCCCUCUUUCAAAUCCUAGCCUUUGAAUUUCUUCAAUCUUCCGUCUUGGAUCCGGAAUUGGCUCUUGUCGUCAG